UUUUUCCUGCCCGAUUCGCGAAUGAUUUUAAAAUAACCCUACAACUCUUAAAUCGGGAGCUUGGCUCUUUAAGCGGUGUGCAGACCUCCCGUGUUCGGAAGAAGGGAGCCUGAAGCUUAAAGGCGGGCACCCACCUGCUUUUUCGUAGGCAGGUUAUUAUUUAAAUCAUACGGUCGGGCGGGAUUUUU
Molecule: non-coding RNA, 188 nt
Filed under: Ruminococcus sp.
Lineage: Bacteria; Bacillati; Bacillota; Clostridia; Eubacteriales; Oscillospiraceae
Description: 6S RNA
Rfam family: 6S / SsrS RNA
About the family: E. coli 6S RNA was the first non coding RNA to be sequenced, but its function was unknown until recently. It consists of 184 nucleotides that fold into an extended hairpin structure with a large single-stranded internal bulge.
Source: RNAcentral